Long non-coding RNA from Anopheles merus, 505 nucleotides. RefSeq lists it as uncharacterized. The transcript has 3 exons. The record is from RefSeq and is a predicted model, not a curated record. Lineage: Eukaryota; Metazoa; Arthropoda; Insecta; Diptera; Culicidae.
UUCAACUUAAAUAUGUAUACUUUAUCUUCGAGCUCUAUUGCAUGUGAUGUUGUAAUAUCACGGACCUGUACGCAUUACAACAGUGAACGAUACGUGAUUACUGAUCCAGCUCUUGAACAUAUUUAUAUUAUUUGUGGACGAACAAACGAGACGAUUAACUCAUCCUAUCUUCUUUGAUUGCAGGUUAUGUUGCUGUUCCUAUCUCCUUUAUUCCGCUGUAUUCGGGAUUAAUUCAAAAAAGAAUCUUGUGCAAUAGUCCAUCAUAUCACUAUCAAUAAUCACAUAUCACACUAUUAUGAAAUCCAUUCAUCAUCGAGCAUCUUUUGUUCAUGAGUUUCAGGUUUUAGCUACCUUCAACAUGAUCUUACCGGGGAAAUCUCUCUUGCGGCGGGUGGGUAUAGCGCAAUAUUGCGAGGACAGGUAUUUCACCAUAUAUCACAAUUUUUAGAGCAUAAGUGGGUUACCGUUGGGGUUUUUUCAAUAAAGUUUUCAUACAACAAACUAA